GGAAUCUAGCUCAGUUGGUUGAGUGCUUGCUUCAUAUGCACAAGGUCCUGGAUUCAAUCCCCAGCACCA
This 69-nucleotide transfer RNA is filed under the name Marmota monax (woodchuck). RNAcentral's name for it is "tRNA.Met". Lineage: Eukaryota; Metazoa; Chordata; Mammalia; Rodentia; Sciuridae. The record is from RNAcentral.